GGGAUCGGGGGAUGCUUCACCAAAAUGUCAAACUUGGCACCACGGUCUUCCUUCUCACCUCACAUCCCAGAUACUACAGAAAAACCUAGCACUUCAUCCUCGUCAGCAAAAGGAAAAAGAAAAGCCAUCUAUCAUGUAAAACCAACAGAGGACACUAAGAUGUUAGAUUUAAAAUCAAUGAAAUGGGAUGCUGUGAAGCAGAAGACAGGAUGGAGGGAGGCCAAGGAAAGAAAGCAGCCAGAUAUGACAUAUAACAUGGAGAGGCUGGAACAGAAGCAAGGGAAGUCCUUGGCUGUUGCCCCCAAGAAAGAAAGCAGCCAAAACAAAAAGUUUCAGGAAACCCUGAAGAAACUUGAAGAAUACCAGAUACAUCAAGAAGAAAAAAGGCUUAGAAAACUCUUACUGAAACCUACAAGAGAGUACCAACUGAGCGGCUUUCCCAUGUCCCGUUAUUCCUGAGGAAUUCCCUGAAACAAGCAAAAAAAUCUCCAGAGGAGUCUACAGUAAUCCAAGAUCCUUACCUCACCUCUUUCUCCACUUUGAAAGAUGCAAACAAGAAGUUAAUUGGAGAACAAUUGGACCAAUUCACAGCUCUACGGACAGUGUAUUAAAGUGCCUUCCAGCUCAGCCUCUCCAAUAUUGACUGUUUCUCUCUUGCAUCAUUUUUGCCAGUGUGCUGGUACAAGACUUAGAUAGCCCAGAAAUUGUAAUAGCAGUAACCCCACGAAUGAACAUCCCACAUAGGAACAGCACGGAUACUAAUGCCAACACGUUUAUGCAGGAUACCUUUUCUUCUUCCCGUAAGGGAACGAUUACAAAGUUAACAGACCCCUCAACUAGCUUCCAGGGGUAUGAUUGGAAGAUGAAGAAUUUAAUUGAGAAGACUCCAAGUGUGAAGCCAGAAACAACCUCCAUGCUAUUGAAGCCUCAGGAAGUUCUUAGCUGUAGGUACUUGCGGCUCUCUAAGAACAAUGUCAAGACCUUGAUUAAGCUGUGUAAGGAUGCAGGAAUGGAUGUAGACAUUCAUCCUCACAUGAAUGAAUCUGAAAUGAAUGCCAACAAGAUAUUCAGCAGAAAACCUAACACAGCCCUCUAAGUCACUCUCUCUUUUGCUAACUUGGGUCUACUUGAAAAAAAGUUGAUACUGCCCGUCCUCCAACCAUGCCGCUAGCCUCUAAUUUUUAGGCAGGUCUGAUAUCUAAUUUAACAACAGCAGUAACAAUCAGCAAACCGAAAGAAGAUUAUGAUAUUUGCAUAUUGUAAUGCUUUAUGGUGUUUCUCAGAGAGGGUCCAAUCUGGGAGAAUCCAUUACUUAGUUUUCCCAAAAUGUUACCUACAGCUAAUGAUAGAAGUUUCACACUCACCUAGAUUGGCUUCAAACAGGCAGGCUUUUUAAUCACAAGUCAAUGACUCAUUUUGCCCCACCCAGAAUUCUCCCUGGGAAUGUUAGGAUCUGGCUCGUGACUCUUAAGGCCCAGUCCCUUGUAAGAAACCAAGGCUACCAAAGCACUAGUACAGGUUCAUUAACAGGCAUGUGAAGAACAGAGAAAGGGCGAAUCACCUUCAAUGCUUCAAGAAUCUAUAAUUUCAAAGCCAUAAAACCUCUUUCCCUUCAUUAAGACCUCUCUCAUUGCCCUGGAAAUGGUGGUCUUUGUAAAUUGUUAUAACCAAAAAAAAAAAAAAAGGAACCCUCAUCAUUCCCCAAGGACAAUCUGGUUAUGAGACCCUCUAAAAACAAGCCUGGUCCUCAGACAACAGAAACUCAUUUUUCCUUUAAGUCAAAAUAAUCCAUCCUGAUGUGCAAGUUUUCCAAUGCAGAUUUCAAGAAGAUUUGGGGUAUGGAAAAGACAAAAUCAGAGUUAUGGAAAGGGCAUCAAAAGACUAAUUCCUUUCAUUCACAUACCCUCAUACCCCCAACCUUGUUCUGU
This is a non-coding RNA of Phascolarctos cinereus (koala), 1928 nucleotides long. The record is from RefSeq and is a predicted model, not a curated record. Lineage: Eukaryota; Metazoa; Chordata; Mammalia; Diprotodontia; Phascolarctidae.